AGGAGAUCUGUGGGGCUGUGGUGUCUGUCCGCUUUCAGGAGGACAUUAUUUCAAUAUGGAAUAAGACUGCCAGUGACCAAGCAACCACAGCCCGAAUCCGGGACACACUUCGGCGAGUGCUUAACCUACCUCCCAACACCAUUAUGGAAUACAAAACUCACACCGACAGCAUCAAAGCCAGGUCAUCUUCCUCUUUGAGUCAGCCCUGCUUGCAAGAUCGCAGGGUUACAGCCCUUCCCUUUCUCCUGGGCCCGGUGUUACUGCACAU
Molecule: small RNA, 268 nt
Filed under: Pan troglodytes (chimpanzee)
Lineage: Eukaryota; Metazoa; Chordata; Mammalia; Primates; Hominidae
Description: processed transcript
Source: RNAcentral